Molecule: long non-coding RNA, 250 nt
Organism: Coffea eugenioides
Lineage: Eukaryota; Viridiplantae; Streptophyta; Magnoliopsida; Gentianales; Rubiaceae
Exons: 3
Source: RefSeq, a predicted model, not a curated record
AAGCUGCUUACCAGUCCGCCGGGAGAAUUUGAAUGUACAAGUUGUUCAGAAUCAGCUACGGGAUCCCCUUUUCCAUCAUCAGCUUGAAUCUGGUUUCACGUGUUUUGUCUCUACAAUUGAAGAACAACUCAAGACAUAGUACUAAUUACCUGGAUGAAGCUUUGAUCUGAGGAGAAUCUGAAUCGGGAGCAAUAAACUUUAGGCCCUUGGCUUGAUUUGUGUUUUUGUCCUCCAGCAAUUUGUAAGGAAU